GAAAGAUUUCUGGGUGGAGAAUUUCUAGGACAAUAAGUAUUGUCAACACCAUGAACAUUAUUUGAAGAAUUAUUAUAGAACGUCAUGGUUGAUAACACAUCCUUUGAAUGAGACUUAUAAGUAGUGUUGAUAUAUUUCAGGUAGUGAGAGCCUACUGAAUAUACAAAUUAAAUACUAUGAUUGUAAAGUACUGAUACAAUCAUCACUAGGUGGUAUUAAUGGUAUAGGAAUGUAAUUCAUGAAUACAAAUGACCUAAAGAUUUUAAGGUUGCUAGAAACCAUAUGAUUCAUGGAAAUAUAAGUGCACGGAUAUAC
Non-coding RNA from Pelobates cultripes (western spadefoot toad), 315 nucleotides. The record is from the annotation of a GenBank genome assembly. NCBI's taxonomy places the organism in Eukaryota, Metazoa, Chordata, Amphibia, Anura, Pelobatidae.